GAUGAACGCUGGCGGCGUGCUUAACACAUGCAAGUCGAACGGAAAGGCCCAAGCUUGCUUGGGUACUCGAGUGGCGAACGGGUGAGUAACACGUGGGUGAUCUGCCCUGCACUUCGGGAUAAGCCUGGGAAACUGGGUCUAAUACCGGAUAGGACCACUUCUUGGAUGUUGUGGUGGAAAGUUUUUUCGGUGUGGGAUGAGCUCGCGGCCUAUCAGCUUGUUGGUGGGGUAAUGGCCUACCAAGGCGUCGACGGGUAGCCGGCCUGAGAGGGUGUACGGCCACAUUGGGACUGAGAGACGGCCCAGACUCCGACGGGAGGCAGCAGUGGGGAAUAUUGCACAAUGGGCGCCAGCCUGAUGCAGCGACGCCGCGUGGGGGAUGACGGCCUUCGGGUUGUAAACUCCUUUCGCUAGGGACGAAGCGUUUUGUGACGGUACCUGGAGAAGAAGCACCGGCUAACUACGUG
RNAcentral lists this ribosomal RNA (467 nucleotides) under uncultured bacterium. Its description in RNAcentral is "partial 16S ribosomal RNA". It matches the Rfam family "Bacterial small subunit ribosomal RNA", at positions 28 to 507 of the family's 1533-position model. The record is from RNAcentral.